RNAcentral lists this ribosomal RNA (497 nucleotides) under uncultured bacterium. Its description in RNAcentral is "partial 16S ribosomal RNA". It matches the Rfam family "Bacterial small subunit ribosomal RNA", at positions 28 to 507 of the family's 1533-position model. The record is from RNAcentral.
GAUGAACGCUGGCGGCGUGCCUAAUACAUGCAAGUCGAGCGAACAGACGAGGAGCUUGCUCCUCUGACGUUAGCGGCGGACGGGUGAGUAACACGUGGAUAACCUACCUAUAAGGCUGGGAUAACUUCGGGAAACCGGAGCUAAUACCGGAUAACAUGUUGAACCGCAUGGUUCAACAGUGAAAGACGGUCUUGCUGUCACUUAUAGAUGGAUCCGCGCCGCAUUAGCUAGUUGGUAAGGUAACGGCUUACCAAGGCAACGAUGCGUAGCCGACCUGAGAGGGUGAUCGGCCACACUGGAACUGAGACACGGUCCAGACUCCUACGGGAGGCAGCAGUAGGGAAUCUUCCGCAAUGGGCGAAAGCCUGACGGAGCAACGCCGCGUGAGUGAUGAAGGUCUUCGGAUCGUAAAACUCUGUUAUUAGGGAAGAACAAAUGUGUAAGUAACUAUGCACGUCUUGACGGUACCUAAUCAGAAAGCCACGGCUAACUACGUG